CGGGGUGUGGCCUAGCCCGGUUCAAGGCACCAGUCUGGGGGACUGGAGAUCCCGGGUUCAAAUCCCGGCACCCCGA
Molecule: transfer RNA, 76 nt
Filed under: Chloroflexota bacterium
Lineage: Bacteria; Bacillati; Chloroflexota
Also listed under: 2 other names
Description: Chloroflexi bacterium (soil metagenome) tRNA-Pro
Rfam family: tRNA
About the family: Transfer RNA (tRNA) molecules are approximately 80 nucleotides in length. Their secondary structure includes four short double-helical elements and three loops (D, anti-codon, and T loops).
Source: RNAcentral